GAUGAACGCUGGCGGCGUGCCUAAUACAUGCAAGUCGAGCGAACGGACGAGAAGCUUGCUUCUCUGAUGUUAGCGGCGGACGGGUGAGUAACACGUGGAUAACCUACCUAUAAGACUGGGAUAACUUCGGGAAACCGGAGCUAAUACCGGAUAAUAUUUUGAACCGCAUGGUUCAAAAGUGAAAGACGGUCUUGCUGUCACUUAUAGAUGGAUCCGCGCUUCAUUAGCUAGUUGGUAAGGUAACGGCUUACCAAGGCAACGAUGCAUAGCCGACCUGAGAGGGUGACCGGCCACAGUGGAACAGAGACACGGUCCAGACUCCUACGGGAGGCAGCAGUAGGGAAUCUUCCGAAAUGGGCGAAAGCCUGACGGAGCAACGCCGCGUGAGUGAUGAAGGUCUUCGGAUCGUAAAACUCUGUUAUUAGGGAAGAACAUAUGUGUAAGUAACUGUGCACAUAUUGACGGUACCUAAUCAGAAAGCCACGGCUAACUACGUG
RNAcentral lists this ribosomal RNA (497 nucleotides) under uncultured bacterium. RNAcentral describes it as "partial 16S ribosomal RNA". It matches the Rfam family "Bacterial small subunit ribosomal RNA", at positions 28 to 507 of the family's 1533-position model. The record is from RNAcentral.